CUGCUCAGUAACACGUGGAUAACCUGCCCAAGGGUCCGGGAUAACCCCGGGAGACUGGGGAUAAUACCGGAUGGAUCACUUAUGCUGGAAUGCUUGGUGGUCGAAAGGUGACGCCCUUGGAUGGGUCUGCGGCGGAUUAGGUUGACGCCGGUGUAACGUACCGGCGUGCCUGUAAUCCGUACGGGUUGUGGGAGCAAGAGCCCGGAGAUGGAUUCUGAGACACGAAUCCAGGCCCUACGGGGCGCAGCAGGCGCGAAAACUCUACAAUGCAGGCAACUGCGAUAGGGGGACAUCGAGUGGCAUCCACCUUGGGUGCCUGUCCCACCGUCUAAAAAACGGUGGUUAGCAAGGGCCGGGCAAGACCGGUGCCAGCCGCCGCGGUAAUACCGGCGGCUCGAGUGGUGGCCGAUAUUACUGAGUCUAAAGGGUCCGUAGCCGGCUUUGCAAGUCCCCUGGGAAAUCCAGCGGCUUAACCGUUGGGCUUUCAUGGGAUACUACAUUGCUUGGGACUGGGAGAGGUAGGAGGUACUCGGGGGGUAGGGGUGAAACCCUGUAAUCCCCCGGGGACCACCGGUGGCGAAGGCGUCCUACCAGAACAGGUCCGACGGUGAGGGACGAAAGCUAGGGGCACGAACCGGAUUAGAUACCCGGGUAGUCCUAGCCGUAAACGAUGCCCGCUAGGUGUCACGGCGGUCGUGAAUCGCCGUGGUGCCGUAGGGAAGCCGCGAAGCGGGCCACUUGGGAAGUACGGCCGCAAGGCUGAAACUUAAAGGAAUUGGCGGGGGAGCAC
This 790-nucleotide ribosomal RNA is filed under the name uncultured Methanosarcinaceae archaeon. RNAcentral's name for it is "bacterial SSU rRNA". It matches the Rfam family "Archaeal small subunit ribosomal RNA", at positions 86 to 879 of the family's 1478-position model. Lineage: Archaea; Methanobacteriati; Methanobacteriota; Methanomicrobia; Methanosarcinales; Methanosarcinaceae. The record is from RNAcentral.